GAUGAACGCUGGCGGCGUGCCUAAUACAUGCAAGUAGAACGCUGAAGCUUGGUGCUUGCACCGAGCGGAUGAGUUGCGAACGGGUGAGUAACGCGUAGGUAACCUGCCUCUUAGCGGGGGAUAACUAUUGGAAACGAUAGCUAAUACCGCAUAAAAGACGAUAUCGCAUGAUAUUGAUUUGAAAGGUGCAAAUGCAUCACUAAGAGAUGGACCUGCGUUGUAUUAGCUAGUUGGUGAGGUAACGGCUCACCAAGGCAACGAUACAUAGCCGACCUGAGAGGGUGAUCGGCCACACUGGGACUGAGACACGGCCCAGACUCCUACGGGAGGCAGCAGUAGGGAAUCUUCGGCAAUGGGGGCAACCCUGACCGAGCAACGCCGCGUGAGUGAAGAAGGUUUUCGGAUCGUAAAGCUCUGUUGUAAGAGAAGAACGAGUGUGAGAGUGGAAAGUUCACACUGUGACGGUAACUACCA
Molecule: ribosomal RNA, 474 nt
Filed under: Streptococcus parasanguinis
Lineage: Bacteria; Bacillati; Bacillota; Bacilli; Lactobacillales; Streptococcaceae
Description: bacterial SSU rRNA
Rfam family: Bacterial small subunit ribosomal RNA
Source: RNAcentral